This 668-nucleotide ribosomal RNA is filed under the name Vibrio sp. Its description in RNAcentral is "bacterial SSU rRNA". It matches the Rfam family "Bacterial small subunit ribosomal RNA", at positions 345 to 1005 of the family's 1533-position model. The record is from RNAcentral. Lineage: Bacteria; Pseudomonadati; Pseudomonadota; Gammaproteobacteria; Vibrionales; Vibrionaceae.
GAGGCAGCAGUGGGGAAUAUUGCACAAUGGGCGAAAGCGUGAUGCAGCCAUGCCGCGUGUAUGAAGAAGGCCUUCGGGUUGUAAAGUACUUUCAGUUGUGAGGAAGGGGGUGUCGUUAAUAGCGGCAUCUCUUGACGUUAGCAACAGAAGAAGCACCGGCUAACUCCGUGCCAGCAGCCGCGGUAAUACGGAGGGUGCGAGCGUUAAUCGGAAUUACUGGGCGUAAAGCGCAUGCAGGUGGUUCAUUAAGUCAGAUGUGAAAGCCCGGGGCUCAACCUCGGAACUGCAUUUGAAACUGGUGAACUAGAGUACUGUAGAGGGGGGUAGAAUUUCAGGUGUAGCGGUGAAAUGCGUAGAGAUCUGAAGGAAUACCAGUGGCGAAGGCGGCCCCCUGGACAGAUACUGACACUCAGAUGCGAAAGCGUGGGGAGCAAACAGGAUUAGAUACCCUGGUAGUCCACGCCGUAAACGAUGUCUACUUGGAGGUUGUGGCCUUGAGCCGUGGCUUUCGGAGCUAACGCGUUAAGUAGACCGCCUGGGGAGUACGGUCGCAAGAUUAAAACUCAAAUGAAUUGACGGGGGCCCGCACAAGCGGUGGAGCAUGUGGUUUAAUUCGAUGCAACGCGAAGAACCUUACCUACUCUUGACAUCCAGAGAAGCCAGCGGAG